CCCUGCACACAUUUCACAAACAGAUUAAGUUGAUUUUGGUACCCAAAUUGCUUUGGGUCCAGAUUUGUUAGUCUUAGCAGCCUUUUCCACUUUCUCAACCUUUACCUUGGAUUGAAUUGAUUCAAUCUUUGGUUUUGGUUGAGAAAUUGGAAUAUCAACUCUGUUUUCAAACACAGGCCUUUGAGGCAUGCAUACAUUGUUCAUUCCAUGCAAAUUUGAAUGAAAUUGAGGCAUGUUAAAGGCAUUAAAAUAAGGAUUGAACAUAUAUGGCAUGUUAGGCUGAGAAUAAGGAUUGUGAGGCAAUAAACCAGGCAUCAUAUUCAUAGCAGAUAAAUUCAUGUGAGGAACAGAUGUCAUAGGAAUAGGCAAAGAUAAAUUAGG
Molecule: long non-coding RNA, 381 nt
Filed under: Daucus carota (carrot)
Lineage: Eukaryota; Viridiplantae; Streptophyta; Magnoliopsida; Apiales; Apiaceae
Description: long non-coding RNA (DCAR_LNC002071)
Source: RNAcentral